This 69-nucleotide transfer RNA is filed under the name Cylindraustralia sp. HS-2014. RNAcentral's name for it is "tRNA-Lys". The record is from RNAcentral. Lineage: Eukaryota; Metazoa; Arthropoda; Insecta; Orthoptera; Cylindrachetidae.
CAUCAGAUGACUGAAAGUAAGUGUUGGUCUCUUAAACCACUAUAUAGUAAUUAACAAUUACUUCUGAUG